This 253-nucleotide ribosomal RNA is filed under the name uncultured bacterium. RNAcentral's name for it is "partial 16S ribosomal RNA". It matches the Rfam family "Bacterial small subunit ribosomal RNA", at positions 524 to 776 of the family's 1533-position model. The record is from RNAcentral.
UACGGAGGGUGCAAGCGUUACUCGGAAUUACUGGGCGUAAAGCGUCCGUAGGCGGCUUGUUAAGUCUGAUGUGAAAGCCCUGGGCUUAACCUGGGAACGGCAUUGGAUACUGGCGAGCUAGAGUUCGGUAGAGGGUGGUGGAAUUCCCGGUGUAGCGGUGAAAUGCGUAGAGAUCAGGAGGAACACCGGUGGCGAAGGCGGCCACCUGGACCGAGACUGACGCUGAGGGACGAAAGCGUGGGGAGCAAACAGG